RNAcentral lists this ribosomal RNA (252 nucleotides) under Escherichia coli. Its description in RNAcentral is "partial 16S ribosomal RNA". It matches the Rfam family "Bacterial small subunit ribosomal RNA", at positions 1 to 247 of the family's 1533-position model. The record is from RNAcentral. Lineage: Bacteria; Pseudomonadati; Pseudomonadota; Gammaproteobacteria; Enterobacterales; Enterobacteriaceae.
UUAAAUUGAAGAGUUUGAUCAUGGCUCAGAUUGAACGCUGGCGGCAGGCCUAACACAUGCAAGUCGAACGGUAACAGGAAACAGCUUGCUGUUUCGCUGACGAGUGGCGGACGGGUGAGUAAUGUCUGGGAAGCUGCCUGAUGGAGGGGGAUAACUACUGGAAACGGUAGCUAAUACCGCAUAAUGUCGCAAGACCAAAGAGGGGGACCUUCGGGCCUCUUGCCAUCGGAUGUGCCCAGAUGGGAUUAGCUA